GAAUGGUUGGACGAGAUAUAAUCUGUUUCAUUUAAAAUUAAUUAGAAUUUUAUUUUUUAGUUAAAAAGCUAAAAUAUAUUCAAAAGACGAGAAGACCCUAUAAAUCUUGAUUAUUUAGUAAUUUUUAAUUUAUUUUGAUUUUUUUUAUUAUAAAUUUAUUAAUUAAUUUUAUUGGGGUGAUAUUAAAAUUUAAAUAACUUUUAAUAAUUUUUGUCAUUUAUUUAUGAUUAAGUGAUCCGUUAUUAGUGAUUAAAAAAUUAAGUUACUUUAGGGAUAACAGCGUAAUUUUUUUGGAGAGUUCUUAUCGAUAAAAAAGUUUGCGACCUCGAUGUUGGAUUAAGAUUCAUAUUUAAAUGCAGAAGUUUAAAUAUAAAGUCUGUUCGACUUUUUAUUCUUACAUGAUCUGAGUUCAAACCGGUGUAAGCCAGGUUGGUUUCUAUCUUUGAUUUCAUAAAAUAUUUUAGUACGAAAGGAAUUAAUAUUUAUUUUUAAAAAAUUAAUUUAUGAAUAAAUUUAAUUACUAU
This 524-nucleotide ribosomal RNA is filed under the name Teleopsis dalmanni. RNAcentral's name for it is "partial 16S ribosomal RNA". The stretch from base 273 to 431 matches the Rfam family "Bacterial large subunit ribosomal RNA", at positions 2473 to 2632 of the family's 2925-position model. The record is from RNAcentral. Lineage: Eukaryota; Metazoa; Arthropoda; Insecta; Diptera; Diopsidae.